This 505-nucleotide ribosomal RNA is filed under the name uncultured bacterium. Its description in RNAcentral is "partial 16S ribosomal RNA". It matches the Rfam family "Bacterial small subunit ribosomal RNA", at positions 28 to 507 of the family's 1533-position model. The record is from RNAcentral.
GACGAACGCUGGCGGCGUGCCUAAUACAUGCAAGUAGAACGCACAGUUUAUACCGUAGCUUGCUACACCAUAGACUGUGAGUUGCGAACGGGUGAGUAACGCGUAGGUAACCUGCCUGGUAGCGGGGGAUAACUAUUGGAAACGAUAGCUAAUACCGCAUAAUAUUAAUUAUUGCAUGAUAAUUAAUUGAAAGGUGCAAUUGCACCACUACCAGAUGGACCUGCGUUGUAUUAGCUAGUAGGUGAGGUAACGGCUCACCUAGGCGACGAUACAUAGCCGACCUGAGAUGGUGAUCAGCCACACUGGGACUGAGACACGGCCCAUACGCCUACGGGAGGCAGCAGUAGUGAAUCUUCGGCAAUGGGCGAGAGUCUGACCGAGCAACGCCGCGGGAGUGAAGAAGGUUGUCGGAUCGUAAAGCUCUGUUGUAAGAGAAGAACGGGUGUGAGAGUGGAAAGUUCACACUGUGACGGUAUCUUACCAGAAAGGGACGGCUAACUACGUG